AACGAACGCUGGCAGCGUGGAUUAGGCAUGCAAGUCGAACGGGAAUUACUUUAGAAGCUUGCUUGAGUAUGAGAGUGGCGGAAGGGCGAGGACAAUAUGGAUAAUUUGCCCGUAAGCUGGGGAUAACUCAGGGAAACCUGAGCUAAAACCGAAUGUGGUACGCUAUGACAUCAUAGCGUCACUAAAGGAGGGGACUCGUUAUGAGCCUUCUGCUUAUGGAUAAGUCCGUAGAUCAUCAGCUAGUUGGUGGGGUAAUGGCUCACCAAGGCAUUGACGAUUAGCUGGUCUGAGAGGACGGCCAGCCGCACUGGGACUGAGAACUGCCCAGACUCCUACGGGAGGCCGCAGUCGAGGAUCAUUCGCAAUGGACGAAAGUCUGACGAUGCGACGCUGCGUGGAGGAUGACGGCCUUCGGGUUGUAAACUCCUGUCAUGAGGGACAAAGAGACCUGCGAUGAUAUCAAGGGAAUAAGAUGGUACCUCAAGAGGAAGAGACGGCUAACUCUGUGCCAGCAGCCGCGGUAAUACAGAGGUCUCAAGCGUUGUUCGGAUUUACUGGGCGUAAAGGGCGCGAGGCGGCUAGGUGUGUCAGAUGUGAAAGCUCCGGGCUCAACCCGGAAAGUGCGUUUGAAACUGCUUAGCUAGAGUAUGGAAGGGGAGUGCGGAAUACAAGGUGUAGCGGUGAAAUGCGUUGAUAUCUUGUAGAACACCGGUGGCGAAGGCGGCACUCUGGGACAUUACUGACGCUGAGAGCGCGAAAGCAGAGGGAGCAAACAGGAUUAGAUACCCUGGUAGUCUCUGCCCUAAACGGUGUACACUCGUGGUUGGGGGAUUUCACCCCUCCAGUCACUUAGCAAACGCGUUAAGUGUACCGCUGGGGAGUACGGUCGCAAGACUAAAACUCAAAGAAAUUGACGGGGGCCCGCACAAGCGGAGGAGCAUGUGGCUUAAUUCGAUGCAACGCGAAGAACCUUACCCAGGUUUGACAUGAUCUGCACCGUCCAUGAAAGUAUUCCUUCGAGGGUAUCUCAGGUGCUGCAUGGCUGUCGUCAGUUCGUGCCGUGAGGUGUUUGGUUAAAUCCAGCAACGAACGCAACCCCUAUGAGAUGUUGCCAACGGGUAAUGCCGGGAACUCGUCUCAGACUGCCCAUUUACAUGGGAGGAAGGUGGGGAUGACGUCAAGUCAGUAUGGCCCUUACAUCUGGGGCUGCACACGUGCUACAAUGGUCAGUACAGAAGGUUGCAAUACCGUGAGGUGGAGCUAAUCCCCAAAACUGGCCUCAGUUCAGAUUGUAGUCUGCAACUCGACUACAUGAAGCCGGAUUCGCUAGUAACGGCGUAUCAGCUACGACGCCGUGAAUACGUUCCCGGGCCUUGUACACACCGCCCGUCACAUCAUGAAAGGUGUCUGCACCCAACGAUGGUGGCCUAACUCGCAAGAGAGGGAGCCAUUAAAGGUGUGG
This 1462-nucleotide ribosomal RNA is filed under the name uncultured bacterium. RNAcentral's name for it is "16S ribosomal RNA". It matches the Rfam family "Bacterial small subunit ribosomal RNA". The record is from RNAcentral.